Long non-coding RNA from Sinocyclocheilus grahami, 496 nucleotides. RefSeq lists it as uncharacterized. The record is from RefSeq and is a predicted model, not a curated record. The transcript is spliced from 3 exons. NCBI's taxonomy places the organism in Eukaryota, Metazoa, Chordata, Actinopteri, Cypriniformes, Cyprinidae.
UGUACAGCAGGCGGUGCUCAGUGCUCGGCUCGCGCAUGUGCGAGUGUUUAGCAGGCGUGGAGCCGCAUUAAAGCGCAGAGUGCCGCGCGGACGCGGUCAGUGUCUGUCUGCUCCCUGCACGGAGAGACAGCUCGAGCGAUGGAGAACUCGGCUGUCAACAACCGCUUCAGGACUGCGCUCUUCAGCCACGAGGAUGAGUGUCCUCAGUUCAGCGGGCGUGUUGGAAACACCCAGCAGUUCCUCCCAGAACCUCUCAAACCUGUGCACCCAGUACAGCCGCGGCUUUAAAUACUACAUCAACAAAAGCGUCUAUAGUGCAGGCUUUGAGUGAUGACGUCACGCCUCAGCAUCUCUCCACCCUCCUCCAGACUUUCACUCAACUCCUACACUCAACUGUAAAAACAAUUGCCAGGAAUUUACAGGAUUAAAGAGUAUUAUUUUACAAUAAAUUACUGUGAAAUCAAUGCAUGCGGAGUCUUACAAAUGACAGCAGAAC